GGAUCCAGACUUUGAUUCUGGCUCAGGAUGAACGCUGGCGGCAUGCCUAAGACAUGCAAGUCGAACGAAGGGGCCCAAUGAAAAGAAUUGAAGUUUGGAGUGUUUGCACAAAGAAUGGAUUGAAUUGGAUUUGGAAUUUCCCCUUAGUGGCAAACGGGUGAGUAACACGUGGGUUACCUGCCUCUAAGUUGGGGAUAACAGUUGGAAACGACUGAUAAUACCGAAUGUGCUCUACGGAGUAAAGAAGCCUUUAAAGCUUCGCUUAGAGAUGGGCCUGCGGCGUAUUAGCUAGUUGGUGGGGUAAUGGCCUACCAAGGCAACGAUGCGUAGCCGAACUGAGAGGUUGAUCGGCCACACUGGGACUGAGACACGGCCCAGACUCCUACGGGAGACAGCAGUUAGGAAUAUUCGUCAAUGGGGGAAACCCUGAACGAGCAAUGCCGCGUGAACGAUGACGGCCCUAUGGGUUGUAAAGUUCUGCUGUUUGGAAAGAACGAUAGAUAGAGGAAAUGCUAUCUAUGUGACGGUACCAUUCAAGAAAGCCACGGCUAACUACGUGCCAGCAGCCGCGGUAGUACGUAGGUGGCGAGCGUUAUCCGGAUUUAUUGGGCGUAAAGGGUGCGCAGACGGUUUAUUAAGUCUAAAAUCAAAUCUUGGGGCUCAACCCCAUUCCGUUUUAGAAACUGGUAGACUUGAGUAUGGUAGAGGCAAAUGGAAUUCCUAGUGUAGCGGUGGAAUGCGUAGAUAUUAGGAGGAACACCAGUGGCGAAGGCGAUUUGCUGGGCCAUUACUGACGUUCAUGCACGAAAGCGUGGGGAGCAAAUAGGAUUAGAUACCCUAGUAGUCCACGCCGUAAACGAUGAGUACUAAGUGUCGGGUUACCGGUGCUGAAGUUAACACAUUAAGUACUCCGCCUGAGUAGUACGGUCGCAAGGCUGCAACUCAAAGGAAUUGACGG
This 958-nucleotide ribosomal RNA is filed under the name uncultured bacterium. Its description in RNAcentral is "bacterial SSU rRNA". It matches the Rfam family "Bacterial small subunit ribosomal RNA", at positions 1 to 916 of the family's 1533-position model. RNAcentral also lists the same sequence under 1 other name. The record is from RNAcentral.